RNAcentral lists this transfer RNA (74 nucleotides) under bacterium. Its description in RNAcentral is "tRNA-Met". It matches the Rfam family "tRNA". Rfam says of the family: Transfer RNA (tRNA) molecules are approximately 80 nucleotides in length. Their secondary structure includes four short double-helical elements and three loops (D, anti-codon, and T loops). Further hydrogen bonds mediate the characteristic L-shaped molecular structure. tRNAs have two regions of fundamental functional importance: the anti-codon, which is responsible for specific mRNA codon recognition, and the 3' end, to which the tRNAs corresponding amino acid is attached (by aminoacyl-tRNA synthetases). tRNAs cope with the degeneracy of the genetic code in two manners: having more than one tRNA (with a specific anti-codon) for a particular amino acid; and 'wobble' base-pairing, i.e. permitting non-standard base-pairing at the 3rd anti-codon position. The record is from RNAcentral.
CGCGGGGUGGAGCAGUCUGGUAGCUCGUUGGGCUCAUAACCCAAAGGUCAUAGGUUCAAAUCCUGUCCCCGCCA